Carassius auratus (goldfish) is the source of this 631-nucleotide long non-coding RNA. RefSeq lists it as uncharacterized. The record is from RefSeq and is a predicted model, not a curated record. The transcript has 3 exons. Lineage: Eukaryota; Metazoa; Chordata; Actinopteri; Cypriniformes; Cyprinidae.
CUAGCCUAAGGAGGAGCACAGACAGAGCCGACAGGCCUCAUCGUGCCUAUCAUCUUAAAAGUAGGAGCAGUCUGAGCUUAACCUUGAGUUGAUCUGGAGCUGAUAGAUGGAUGGGGCUGAUUGGAGAUAGUUGUCUCUGCUCUUCUUUUCCCAAGGCGACAGGAGUUGGUCCUUUACUUCACCCUGGAGUCAUGCAGAUGUUUCGGGCCCGGGCAGGAUAAAGCUAAAGAUAGCAGCGGGUGACAGGAGCACUCAUUGAUUAUCUGUCCCAGAGCUCGUCUGAGAGACUUUCUCUUCCUCCGGCCGAUAGCAGAGACUACAGCUAAUUGACCUUGGAGCGUCUGCACUCUUAACGGAAUAUUAACAGGUUUGCCAGACUCAUAGAAGAGGAUCCAAAAUGUCAAUUUUCAACAAGUUUUUUGGGAUGGCUGGAUCACUAUAAAAGGAGCUGUAGAGAAGAUAAACAGCUAAUACAAAAGAACUGCUUCUUUCCGAACUCUUUCCGAGAAGGUAUGCACAUCUGAGAUCAUUUGUUUCCAUCUCUGGAAUAGUUUCCCUCACACCUUGUGUAAUUGUCCUAUUCCCACUUAAAAAGUUACCCUGUUAAAUUAUAAAUCAUCUCAAACAGUCU